Molecule: unclassified non-coding RNA, 343 nt
Filed under: soil metagenome
Description: partial contains 5.8S ribosomal RNA, internal transcribed spacer 2, and large subunit ribosomal RNA
Rfam family: 5.8S ribosomal RNA (bases 1-120)
Source: RNAcentral
GAUGAAGAACGCAGCGAAAUGCGAUAAGUAAUGUGAAUUGCAGAAUUCAGUGAAUCAUCGAAUCUUUGAACGCACAUUGCGCCCGCCAGCAUUCUGGCGGGCAUGCCUGUUCGAGCGUCAUUUCAACCCUCGAGCCCCCCCGGGGGCCUCGGUGUUGGGGGACGGCACACCAGCCGCCCCCGAAAUGCAGUGGCGACCCCGCCGCAGCCUCCCCUGCGUAGUAGCACACACCUCGCACCGGAGCUCGGAGGCGGUCACGCCGUAAAACGCCCAACUUUCUUAGAGUUGACCUCGGAUCAGGUAGGAAUACCCGCUGAACUUAAGCAUAUCAAUAAGCGGAGGA